GUGGGGAAUCUUAGACAAUGGGGGAAACCCUGAUCCAGCCAUGCCGCGUGGAGGAAGACUGCCCUCUGGGUUGUAAACUCCUUUUAUAUGGGAAGAACCGUCCUCAUUAAUGAGUGACCUGACGGUACCAUAGGAAUAAGCACCGGCUAACUCCGUGCCAGCAGCCGCGGUAAUACGGAGGGUGCAAGCGUUAUCCGGAUUCACUGGGUUUAAAGGGUGCGUAGGCGGAUAAAUAAGUCAGUGGUGAAAUCAACGGACUCAACCUGUUAACUGCCAUUGAUACUGUGUAUCUUGAAUAUGAGAGAGGUAGGCGGAAUGUUGCAUGUAGCGGUGAAAUGCUUAGAUAUGCUACGGAACACCGAUUGCGAAGGCAGCUUACUAUUUCGUAAUUGACGCUGAGGCACGAAAGCGUGGGUAGCGAACAGGAUUAGAUACCCUUGUAGUCC
RNAcentral lists this ribosomal RNA (446 nucleotides) under uncultured bacterium. RNAcentral describes it as "partial 16S ribosomal RNA". It matches the Rfam family "Bacterial small subunit ribosomal RNA", at positions 354 to 796 of the family's 1533-position model. The record is from RNAcentral.